RNAcentral lists this ribosomal RNA (492 nucleotides) under uncultured bacterium. RNAcentral describes it as "partial 16S ribosomal RNA". It matches the Rfam family "Bacterial small subunit ribosomal RNA", at positions 29 to 506 of the family's 1533-position model. The record is from RNAcentral.
AGUGAACGCUGGCGGUAGGCCUAACACAUGCAAGUCGAACGGCAGCACAGUAAGAGCUUGCUCUUACGGGUGGCGAGUGGCGGACGGGUGAGGAAUACAUCGGAAUCUACUUUUUCGUGGGGGAUAACGUAGGGAAACUUACGCUAAUACCGCAUACGACCUACGGGUUAAAGCAGGGGAUCUUCAGACCUUUCGCGAUUGAAUGAGCCGAUGUCGGAUUAGCUAGUUGGCGGGGUAAGGGGCCACCAAGGCAACGGUGCGUAGCCGGUCUGAGAGGAUGAAUCAGCAACACUGAAACGGAGAAACGGUCCAGACUCCUACGGGGGGCAGCAGUGGGAAAUAUGGGACAAGGGGCGCAAGCUUGAUCAGGCCAGACGGGGGAGUGAAGAAGGUCCUUCGGGUGGUAAAGCCUUUUAGUUGGGAAAAAAAAGCAUCAGGUUAACACCCCGCCGUUCGGAGGUAACCAAAAGAAUAAGCACGGGCUAACUCCGG